RNAcentral lists this transfer RNA (85 nucleotides) under Felis catus (domestic cat). It matches the Rfam family "tRNA". Rfam says of the family: Transfer RNA (tRNA) molecules are approximately 80 nucleotides in length. Their secondary structure includes four short double-helical elements and three loops (D, anti-codon, and T loops). Further hydrogen bonds mediate the characteristic L-shaped molecular structure. tRNAs have two regions of fundamental functional importance: the anti-codon, which is responsible for specific mRNA codon recognition, and the 3' end, to which the tRNAs corresponding amino acid is attached (by aminoacyl-tRNA synthetases). tRNAs cope with the degeneracy of the genetic code in two manners: having more than one tRNA (with a specific anti-codon) for a particular amino acid; and 'wobble' base-pairing, i.e. permitting non-standard base-pairing at the 3rd anti-codon position. Lineage: Eukaryota; Metazoa; Chordata; Mammalia; Carnivora; Felidae. The record is from Rfam by way of RNAcentral.
GCCUGAGUGGCUCAGUUGGUUAAGCACCCGACUUCAGCUCAGGUCAUGAUCUCACGGCUUGUGGGUUCAAGUUCUGCAUCAGGCU